Molecule: ribosomal RNA, 759 nt
Filed under: uncultured fungus
Lineage: Eukaryota; Fungi
Description: eukaryotic LSU rRNA
Rfam family: Eukaryotic large subunit ribosomal RNA
Source: RNAcentral
GAACUUAAGCAUAUCAAUAAGCGGAGGAAAAGAAACCAACAGGGAUUGCCCCAGUAACGGCGAGUGAAGCGGCAACAGCUCAAAUUUGAAAUCUGGCCCCCAGGGCCCGAGUUGUAAUUGCAGAGGAUGCUUUUGGCGCGGUGCCUUCCGAGUUCCCUGGAACGGGACGCCAUAGAGGGUGAGAGCCCCGUCUGGUCGGACACCAAGCCAGUGUAAAGCUCCUUCGACGAGUCGAGUAGUUUGGGAAUGCUGCUCUAAAUGGGAGGUAUAUGUCUUCUAAAGCUAAAUACCGGCCAGAGACCGAUAGCGCACAAGUAGAGUGAUCGAAAGAUGAAAAGCACUUUGAAAAGAGGGUUAAACAGUACGUGAAAUUGUUGAAAGGGAAGCGUUUAUGACCAGACUUGGGCCCGGUGAAUCAUCCAGCGUUCUCGCUGGUGCACUUCGCCGGGCCCAGGCCAGCAUCAGUUCGCCGCGGGGGAUAAAAGCUUCGGGAACGUGGCUCCCUCGGGAGUGUUAUAGCCCGUUGCAUAAUACCCUGUGGCGGACUGAGGUUCGCGCUCCGCAAGGAUGCUGGCGUAAUGGUCAUCAGCGACCCGUCUUGAAACACGGACCAAGGAGUCGUCUUCGUAUGUGAGUGUUCGGGUGUAAAACCCCUACGCGUAAUGAAAGUGAACGCAGGUGAGAGCUUCGGCGCAUCAUCGACCGAUCCUGAUGUUCUCGGAUGGAUUUGAGUAAGAGCAUACGGGGCCGGACCCGAAA